GCUAGGCGUGGUGGCUCAUGCCUGUAAUCCCAGCACUUUGGGAGGCCAAGGUGAGCAGAUUGAUUGAGGCUAGGGGUUCAGGACCAGCCUGGCCAACAUAAUAAAACCCCGUCUCUACUAAAAGUACAAAAAUUAGCUAGGUGUGGGAUUAUAGGUGCGCACCUAUAAUCCCACACCUAGCUAAUUUUUGUACUUUUAGUAGAGACGGGGUUUUAUUAUGUUGGCCAGGCUGGUCCUGAACCCCUAGCCUCAAUCAAUCUGCUCACCUU
This is a non-coding RNA of Gorilla gorilla gorilla (western lowland gorilla), 269 nucleotides long. The record is from Rfam. NCBI's taxonomy places the organism in Eukaryota, Metazoa, Chordata, Mammalia, Primates, Hominidae.